RNAcentral lists this ribosomal RNA (395 nucleotides) under Labyrinthulaceae sp. RNAcentral describes it as "partial small subunit ribosomal RNA". It matches the Rfam family "Eukaryotic small subunit ribosomal RNA", at positions 582 to 975 of the family's 1831-position model. The record is from RNAcentral. Lineage: Eukaryota; Bigyra; Labyrinthulida; Labyrinthulaceae.
AUUCCAGCUCCAAUAGCGUAUAUUAAAGUUGUUGCAGUUAAAAAGCUCGUAGUUGGAUUCCUGGUUAGAGCGGCCGGUCUGGUCCGAAUGGGCUAGUACUUUGAGCUGUCUUUGACCUUCCUUUGGGAGAAUCUGUGUUGUUAUUAAUUUAGCAGUGCAGGGGACCCCAAUCGUUUACUGUGAAAAAAUUAGAGUGUUUAAAGCAGGCAUUUGCUGUGAAUACAUUAGCAUGGAAUAAUAAGAUAGGACUUUGGUGCUAUUUUGUUGGUUUGCACACCAAGGUAAUGAUUAACAGGGACAGUUGGGGGUAUUCGUAUUUAAUUGUCAGAGGUGAAAUUCAUGGAUUUAUGAAAGACGAACUACUGCGAAAGCAUUUACCAAGGAUGUUUUCAUUG